GGGUGCGAUCAUACCAGCACUAUUGCACCGGAUCCCAUCAGAACUCCGAAGUUAAGCGUUCUUGGGUGAGAGUUGUUUCGGCGAGACAAUUGGAAACAACGCGUCGGAUACU
RNAcentral lists this ribosomal RNA (112 nucleotides) under Nelumbo nucifera (sacred lotus). The record is from RNAcentral. Lineage: Eukaryota; Viridiplantae; Streptophyta; Magnoliopsida; Proteales; Nelumbonaceae.